GCCCAAGCCAGUAAUAAUUCACUAGAAAAGUCAAUUUACAAUUAGUUUAAACAUUGCUAAAUCUUAACUAACUUGGUUUUGCGCGCCCACACUUCCCAGAACUCUGAGCCACUUUAGAUAUUCAAGAAUGAACCUCAUUCUUUAUCUCGAAACUCUAAGCACCUCUUCCCAAAAUUCUAGAACUUUGAAGGCUAAUUGGCAAAGGUAGGGUUAGGUUUUGGUGUUUGAUCUAUGAAGGGUUUGAAUCAAGAGAACUUCGAAUGUGUUGUUUGAUCUUCAAUAAUGUAUUCUUUAUAAUGAAAGAAUGAUUCAACAUACAUUUGGUAUUAGCUAGGCUUGGAUAUUUAUAAUAUGAACUGUUUGGGGAGCAAAAUAGAAUAAGAAAACAAGUUGUUUAAUUGAAAAAAGAUUUACACGGAUAUAUAUGAUGCUCGAGCAUGAGGCUAGUAUCAGGUUCUGCUUCAAUUUGCGUUGCAUUGCGUUGCUC
This 487-nucleotide long non-coding RNA is filed under the name Olea europaea (common olive). RNAcentral describes it as "long non-coding RNA (OEUR_LNC009768)". Lineage: Eukaryota; Viridiplantae; Streptophyta; Magnoliopsida; Lamiales; Oleaceae. The record is from RNAcentral.